UCUCCAGUGGUCACUACCCUAACAAGCAAGUAAGUUAACUACCCGCGCAUCAAAGCGAGCACUCCUAACAAGAAAGCGAGCACUCCUAACAAGUAAGUAAACCUAGCCUCAAAGCCGCCAAGCAACUAAGGAAGGGCAGCGGAACGAUGGCUCAAGAAUCCACCCUACUACUAGCAUAGCAACCCUUAAAGGUAGGCUCACAAUUCCAACUUUCCAGACUAAUGACUAUAGAAACACUAGCACCCGACCCAUAGUAAUAGAAUGAGUAGUUGUGGUCACCACC
Molecule: long non-coding RNA, 283 nt
Filed under: Musa acuminata (dwarf banana)
Lineage: Eukaryota; Viridiplantae; Streptophyta; Magnoliopsida; Zingiberales; Musaceae
Description: long non-coding RNA (MACU_LNC009119)
Source: RNAcentral